RNAcentral lists this ribosomal RNA (869 nucleotides) under uncultured archaeon. RNAcentral's name for it is "bacterial SSU rRNA". It matches the Rfam family "Archaeal small subunit ribosomal RNA", at positions 1 to 878 of the family's 1478-position model. The record is from RNAcentral.
CUCCGGUUGAUCCUGCCGGACCUGACUGCUAUCGGAUUGGUACUAAGCCAUGCGAGUCAUUGUAGCAAUACAAGGCGGACGGCUCAGUAACACGUAGUCAACCUAACCCGUGGACGCGGAUAACCUCGGGAAACUGAGAAUAAACCGCGAUAGAUCAUUAUGCCUGGAAUGGCUUAUGGUCCAAACAGUUUACUGCCAUGGGAUGGGACUGCGUCCGAUCAGGCUGUUGGCGGGGUAAUGGCCCACCAAACCUGUAACCGGUACGGGCCUUGAGAGAGGUGGCCCGGAGAUGGACACUGAGAGAAGGGUCCAGGUCCUACGGGGCGCAGCAGGCGCGAAACCUUCGCAAUGCGCGAAAGCGUGACGAGGUUAAUCCGAGUGACUCCCGCUGAGGGGGUCUUUUGUCAGCUGUAAAUAGGCAGGCGAAUAAGGGGAGGGCAAGCCUGGUGUCAGCCGCCGCGGUAAUACCAGCUCCUCGAGUGGUCGGGGCGAUUAUUGGGCCUAAAGCAUCCGUAGCCGGUUCCGUAGGUCCUCUGUUAAAUCCAACCGCUUAACGGUUGACCUGCAGAGGAUACCGCGGGACUAGGAGGCGGGAGAGGCGGACGGUAUUCCGCGUGUAGGGGUAAAAUCCUUUGAUCCGCGGAGGACCACCAGUGGCGAAGGCGGUCCGCCAGAACGCGCUCGACGGUGAGGGAUGAAAGCUGGGGGAGCGAACCGGAUUAGAUACCCGGGUAGUCCCAGCCGUAAACGAUGCUAGCUAGAUGAUUCAUUCGCAAGUCGCGAAUGAAGUGUCGCAGGGAAGCCGUUAAGCUAGCCGCCUGGGGAGUACGGUCGCAAGACUGAAACUUAAAGGAAUGGGCGGGGGAGCA